This 66-nucleotide transfer RNA is filed under the name Cinygmina furcata. RNAcentral's name for it is "tRNA-Phe". It matches the Rfam family "tRNA". Rfam says of the family: Transfer RNA (tRNA) molecules are approximately 80 nucleotides in length. Their secondary structure includes four short double-helical elements and three loops (D, anti-codon, and T loops). Lineage: Eukaryota; Metazoa; Arthropoda; Insecta; Ephemeroptera; Heptageniidae. The record is from RNAcentral.
GUUUAAAUAGCUUAAUAAAAGAGCGUGGCACUGAAGAUGCCAAGGAGAUUUUAAGAUCUUUAAACA